RNAcentral lists this ribosomal RNA (1077 nucleotides) under Triticum aestivum (bread wheat). RNAcentral describes it as "partial small subunit ribosomal RNA". Lineage: Eukaryota; Viridiplantae; Streptophyta; Magnoliopsida; Poales; Poaceae. The record is from RNAcentral.
AUGGAGCCCUUGGAGGCUAGCCCAGCCGUCACCACCACCAUUGACUCCCUUAAGGACGACAACAUCGAGGACAUCCUGCUGCGCCUCCCGUCGCCGGCCUCCCUCGCUCGAGCCGCGCUCGCCUCACGCCGCUGGCGCGGCAUCGCCUCAAGCUCCCCCUUCCUCCGCCGCUUCCGCGAGCUCCACCCCCGGUCACCCAUCCUCGGCUUCUUCGCCUCCCAGCCGGACCUCCAGCAGCUCCCCAUCUUCCACCCCGCGGCCGCCGUCCGCUCCGACCCGGACCUCGCAGCCGCCGCGCGCGGGGGCGACUUCCUGCUCACCCGCCUCGAGGACGACCCGGCGUGGCGCUCCCGGGACUGCCGCAACGGCCGCCUCCUCCUCUCCCGAGGCGGCGACUCCCUCUCCCUCUACGACCCCGUCUCCCACCGGCACGUCUCCGUGCCCCGUCCACGGAGCGACGAACCACUCCUCCCUGUACCGCCUGGAGCAGCAGAGUACAUAUGGGACUGCUUGCUGGACGGCCAUGGAGAAUUCCGCGUGGUCACCGUGCAGCGAGACGGCCAAAGGUUGCGCGCCAUGGAGUACGCCUCCCGCACCGCCGAGUGGCGCAUCCACCCGUGGGCGGACGGCAUCCGCAUGCCUGCACAAGUGUGUCUACUCAAGAAGAACGACGGCGCCGGCGGCGGGCAUGCGUGUGAGUUGGAGAAGCAAAGCCAUAUAGGCUGGCUGGACAGCUUCAACCGGCGGUUCGGCGUCCAUAUGGUGGCUGCUGGAAUAGCAAUUGUUUACUGCAUGAGUUGCAAGUAUUUUCACUUUGUCUUUGAUCUCAAGGACCUGAGCCUCAAGGAUAAGUUCCGUUGUCAUCGAACCAUGGCGUACCCUUUCCAAAUGCCAUGGCCACCUGCUGCGUUGGCGCCUACUUCUCCGUGCGAGCGACCCACCACGCCCCAAACAUAUGCUUGCCAAGAUGCUGAGAAUCGACACGAAGCACCUUCUUCUAGUAGGAAGCGCAAGAGCAAUGAUGAAAUGGAGCCAUGUAUUUUUGUAGCUUCUUUGAAGAAUGAAUUCAUCAGAUAA